Molecule: ribosomal RNA, 426 nt
Filed under: uncultured prokaryote
Description: bacterial SSU rRNA
Rfam family: Bacterial small subunit ribosomal RNA
Source: RNAcentral
UGGGGAAUUUUCCGCAAUGGGCGCAAGCCUGACGGAGCAACGCCGCGUGAGGGAGGAAGGCCUGUGGGUUGUAAACUUCUUUUCUCUAGGAAGAAGGUCUGACGGUACUAGAGGAAUCAGCAUCGGCUAACUCCGUGCCAGCAGCCGCGGUAAGACGGAGGAUGCAAGCGUUAUCCGGAAUUAUUGGGCGUAAAGCGUCCGUAGGCGGUUAUUUAAGUCUGCUGUCAAAGACCACAGCUCAACUGUGGGCGGGCGGUGGAAACUGGGUAACUAGAGUUCGGUAGGGGUAGAGGGAAUUCCCAGUGUAGCGGUGAAAUUCGUAGAUAUUCGGAGGAACACCAGUGGCGAAGGCGGCUCACUGGCUCGAUACUGACGCUGAGGUGCGAAAGUGUGGGGAGCAAACAGGAUUAGAUACCCGCGUAGUCC